RNAcentral lists this small RNA (68 nucleotides) under Bacillus sp. CECT 9360. Its description in RNAcentral is "Bacillaceae-1". It matches the Rfam family "Bacillaceae-1 RNA". Lineage: Bacteria; Bacillati; Bacillota; Bacilli; Caryophanales; Bacillaceae. The record is from RNAcentral.
UAAAGCAGAACACAGGCUAAGUGCGCCACGUCCUUAUGUCUUCGCCUGUGUAACCCACAUCCUGUGGG